Long non-coding RNA from Ailuropoda melanoleuca (giant panda), 1367 nucleotides. RefSeq lists it as uncharacterized. The transcript is spliced from 2 exons. NCBI's taxonomy places the organism in Eukaryota, Metazoa, Chordata, Mammalia, Carnivora, Ursidae. The record is from RefSeq and is a predicted model, not a curated record.
UAAGAAAAUUUUAGGUCAGUUUUUAAUACUAUAGGCUGGUACGACCUCUUUUCAUGCUGCUCCCACCGGUCUAGUUGUGUAGGAAAUUGGAGGGAAGAGAAAAAUGAUGUGUCAGAAGUGGGAUUCGAACCCACGCCUCCAUUCGGAGACCAGAAUCCCCAGCGCGGGGAAGCGGAGCUUGAGUCUGGCGCCUUAGACCACUCGGCCAUCCUGACACCCUGCGGAAGAGGAGAGAUUUUCUGCUAAAGUCGAUGUGGAGGAGUGGCGCUUCUGUGACGUACACCGGCGCGCUGGCGGGAGCGCUGCCGCCAGAGGCGCCGCCGGCCCGGAAGGAGGACAGAGCCACCUGUGGAUGGGAAAGGAAACUCCGCGGGAGGAGCGCAGGUGCCGCGGCGCGAGCGCGGACACGGUUUCCCGCGGCCCACGGCGGCGGGCGCGCCUCGAGAACCGACAGCCGGCUUCCCCAGCCCUCUGCUCGGCUCCCAGCCGCUUGCCCUCACGCGCGUGGCGGCGCGCUCGUGCUUUGCUUUUGACGAGAGAGGAACGACGACACACGGAACAGAAGACCGCAAUUCCUUGGCACGGCCCCCGCGUCCGCACAAGUGCCCUGCACUCCCGGCAGUCUGUUGGGUUCCGAAAGCGCCUGCGCCCGGGCUCAUCUGUGUAGCGACAGGGACCGGGACAGGGGCAGGUAGAGGGGCACGGGCAAAGGCAAAGGCAGGUACAGCGGCAGGAGCAGGGACAGGACAGCGGCAGCGACGGGGCAGGAUCAGGAACAGGACAGGGGCAGGAGCAGGGACAGGACAGGGGCACGGGCAGGGACAAAAGCAGGGGCCCUACUCCCGGUCCUCGGGCCGCUCUCCGGCGCUCAGGUCCGAGCCCUGCGCGUCCUCUGUGAGGUCGGGGAAGACGAUGGCCCCGCGCCACACCUGCCGACGCAGGCUUUCCCCGCUUUGCCAGCUCUGUGCGGAGUCGUCCGAGCACCGGGCCCGGAAGCCGCGAGCCGCGACGAUAAGCCCGCGUCCUCCCGCUGCACCGAGAGCCCCCGGGGGCUGGGACACGGCGCGGAAGCAGCCCUUGCAGGCCUGCAGCGGGUCCGGGAGCGGCCUGCGCGCAAGAAGCAGAAUCCCGAGAUGAAAGUUUAUCCAGUUUUAAAGGCUUUUGAUACAUACUGUCCAAGUGCCUACCAGAAAAUCUGAAGCAAUCUAGAGACGUCCAGCCUGACCAACAAAGGAUACUAUGAUUAAACAACAGAACAUUUUCAUGGGUGAAAGGUGGCAUAUUGUUCCACAGCUUUACUAGUGAGGCUGAACAUUCAUGUUUGUUGUUAACUGCUUAUUAAAUUUCUACUGAUGUGUUCAUCUUUC